GGUCCAGACUCCUACGGGAGGCAGCAGUGGGGAAUAUUGCACAAUGGGGGAAACCCUGAUGCAGCGACGCCGCGUGGGUGAAGGAGCACCUCGGUGCGUAAAUCCCUAUCGGCAGGGAAGAAAAGCGAACAGGUUCGCCUGGACGGCACCUGACUAAGAAGCCCCGGCUAACUACGUGCCAGCAGCCGCGGUAAUACGUAGGGGGCAAGCGUUAUCCGGAUUCACUGGGUGUAAAGGGAGCGUAGACGGCGAUGCAAGCCAGAUGUGAAAGCCCGGGGCUCAACCCCGGGACUGCAUUUGGAACUGUGUGGCUGGAGUGUCGGAGAGGCAGGCGGAAUUCCUAGUGUAGCGGUGAAAUGCGUAGAUAUUAGGAGGAACACCAGUGGCGAAGGCGGCUUGCUGGACUGUAACUGACGUUGAGGCUCGAAAGCGUGGGGAGCAAACAGGAUUAGAUACCCCAGUAC
This 464-nucleotide ribosomal RNA is filed under the name uncultured bacterium. RNAcentral's name for it is "bacterial SSU rRNA". It matches the Rfam family "Bacterial small subunit ribosomal RNA", at positions 328 to 793 of the family's 1533-position model. The record is from RNAcentral.